UCGGUAAGUACAAACCCACAAACCCGUUCUCAAAAUUGAAUUAAAAAACACCGACAAAUAAAGAUCAGUUAAUUUUUGAGUUUUUCAAUUCAAUAAAAUUUCAGUCAUCUAUGUUGGUGAAGGUUGCACAUUAUGAGCUAAAUCUAAAUUUCGUCUAGUGCAUGAAGUCAAGCAUAAUUAACCAUCUAGAAAAAUCCAGCAAAGUCGAAAACAUUUAGAAGUCAUUGCUUUCUUAGAAGACACGUUUUAAUUACUUUUAAUUAAAUUUUUAUUAGCGCAAAUUCUGGUUGGUCAUAUAUUCUGUAAGGGAAAAGUAAGUAGUAAUAUAAAUUUGACAUGACUUUUCAAAGCAGCUUCGAACCCUUUUUAAGAUGUUAAUUUAAUUUACUGAAUAUUAAUGGAAGGUUUGGAUCAAUUAAAAAAUAUUAAAAUGCUUUAAAUGCUAUUAUUGUUGCAACAUUUCAUUGUAAGUAUAUGUAAAUAAUCGGAAUGUCAGAUUUCAACUUAAGAAAUUAAAAAUUGAGUAGAUCAGGAGAUUAUAAAGAAAUAAUUUGCUUCGGCAUUGCUAUAUAUUUUUUUGGAGAUACUAACAAAUGACAUUUCAUGACUCUGGUGAUUAGGUUCUCGUUUUAAACUAAAAUAAUCAUUGAAACGCAUAUCAAUAUAUUUUUCUAUAUCGUGUUGUUCACCAGAAGCCUUCAAUGCUUUAUAUAGGUGUUCAAAUAAUUUGCAUGAAUCUCUUUAAUCCUCAUCAGUUUUAAUCGCUAGGAUGCUGAAGAUACAGAUUUCUCAUAGGCAAUUUGUAAUCACUAGUCAUUCGUUUUGUACGACCAAAGCGCAUCUAUCCGGACAGGACAUGAAUUAGGUAUUAUUAUAAACUCACAACAUUUCAUACUCUACUUAAAAUUAGAUGGGUUUUGCAAUUACUUGAUGUACUUGAUGUUUUUUUUAUUGUGCUCAAACUGAAAAUAUAACACCGGUUUAAUUAAUAGGCAAUACUGAAAUACCACGAAUUGGUCGGUGAUACUCAUAUAACCUGUACGUUUGAAGUUUUAUGAAUAUACUCCGUUGCCUACAAUAAAAUUAAUAAAAGACUAUGAUAAAAGUUUGAAAUAAAUCACAUAUUGUAAACAUGGUAAUCCUAACUCACUAUUCAUCUACUUACUCUCCUUAG
This is a non-coding RNA of Schizosaccharomyces pombe (fission yeast), 1174 nucleotides long. The record is from the annotation of a GenBank genome assembly. Lineage: Eukaryota; Fungi; Ascomycota; Schizosaccharomycetes; Schizosaccharomycetales; Schizosaccharomycetaceae.